Molecule: ribosomal RNA, 253 nt
Filed under: Faecalitalea cylindroides ATCC 27803
Lineage: Bacteria; Bacillati; Bacillota; Erysipelotrichia; Erysipelotrichales; Erysipelotrichaceae
Also listed under: 1 other name
Description: partial 16S ribosomal RNA
Rfam family: Bacterial small subunit ribosomal RNA
Source: RNAcentral
UACGUAGGUGGCGAGCGUUAUCCGGAAUGAUUGGGCGUAAAGGGUACGUAGGCGGCCAGAUAAGUCUGGUGUGAAAGGCUGCAGCUCAACUGCAGCACUGCACUGGAAACUGUCCGGCUGGAGUGCAGAAGAGGGCGAUGGAACUCCAUGUGUAGCGGUAAAAUGCGUAGAUAUAUGGAAGAACACCGGUGGCGAAGGCGGUCGCCUGGUCUGCAACUGACGCUGAAGUACGAAAGCGUGGGGAGCAAAUAGG